GAUGAACGCUGGCGGCGUGCCUAAUACAUGCAAGUCGAGCGAACAGAUAAGGAGCUUGCUCCUUUGACGUUAGCGGCGGACGGGUGAGUAACACGUGGGUAACCUACCUAUAAGACUGGGAUAACUUCGGGAAACCGGAGCUAAUACCGGAUAACAUUUGGAACCGCAUGGUUCUAAAGUGAAAGAUGGUUUUGCUAUCACUUAUAGAUGGACCCGCGCCGUAUUAGCUAGUUGGUAAGGUAACGGCUUACCAAGGCGACGAUACGUAGCCGACCUGAGAGGGUGAUCGGCCACACUGGAACUGAGACACGGUCCAGACUCCUACGGGAGGCAGCAGUAGGGAAUCUUCCGCAAUGGGCGAAAGCCUGGCGGAGCAACGCCGCGUGAGUGAUGAAGGGUUUCGGCUCGUAAAACUCUGUUAUUAGGGAAGAACAAAUGUGUAAGUAACUGUGCACGUCUUGACGGUACCUAAUCAGAAAGCCACGGCUAACUACGUG
Molecule: ribosomal RNA, 497 nt
Filed under: uncultured bacterium
Lineage: Bacteria
Description: partial 16S ribosomal RNA
Rfam family: Bacterial small subunit ribosomal RNA
Source: RNAcentral